RNAcentral lists this transfer RNA (73 nucleotides) under Thermoleophilia bacterium. RNAcentral's name for it is "tRNA-Lys". It matches the Rfam family "tRNA". From Rfam's summary of the family: Transfer RNA (tRNA) molecules are approximately 80 nucleotides in length. Their secondary structure includes four short double-helical elements and three loops (D, anti-codon, and T loops). Lineage: Bacteria; Bacillati; Actinomycetota; Thermoleophilia. The record is from RNAcentral. RNAcentral also lists the same sequence under 3 other names.
GGGCCGUUAGCUCAGCUGGCAGAGCAGGGGACUUUUAAUCCCAAGGUCGUAGGUUCGAGCCCUACACGGCCCA